AGAGUUUGAUCCUGGCUCAGGACGAACGCUGGCGGCGUGCUUAACACAUGCAAGUCGAACGGAAAGGCCCUUCGGGGUACUCGAGUGGCGAACGGGUGAGUAACACGUGGGUGAUCUGCCCUGCACUUUGGGAUAAGCCUGGGAAACUGGGUCUAAUACCGAAUAGGACCACGCGCUUCAUGGUGUGUGGUGGAAAGCUUUUGCGGUGUGGGAUGGGCCCGCGGCCUAUCAGCUUGUUGGUGGGGUAAUGGCCUACCAAGGCGACGACGGGUAGCCGGCCUGAGAGGGUGACCGGCCACACUGGGACUGAGAUACGGCCCAGACUCCUACGGGAGGCAGCAGUGGGGAAUAUUGCACAAUGGGCGCAAGCCUGAUGCAGCGACGCCGCGUGAGGGAUGACGGCCUUCGGGUUGUAAACCCCUUUCAAUAGGGACGAAGCGCAAGUGACGGUACCUAUAGAAGAAGCACCGGCCAACUACGUGCCAGCAGCCGCGGUAAUACGUAGGGUGCGAGUGUUGUCCGGAAUUACUGGGCGUAAAGAGCUCGUAGGUGGUUUGUCGCGUUGUUCGUGAAAACUCACAGCUUAACUGUGGGCGUGCGGGCGAUACGGGCAGACUAGAGUACUGCAGGGGAGACUGGAAUUCCUGGUGUAGCGGUGGAAUGCGCAGAUAUCAGGAGGAACACCGGUGGCGAAGGCGGGUCUCUGGGCAGUAACUGACGCUGAGGAGCGAAAGCGUGGGGAGCGAACAGGAUUAGAUACCCUGGUAGUCCACGCCGUAAACGGUGGGUGCUAGGUGUGGGUUCCUUCCUUGGGAUCCGUGCCGUAGCUAACGCAUUAAGUACCCCGCCUGGGGAGUACGGCCGCAAGGCUAAAACUCAAAGGAAUUGACGGGGGCCCGCACAAGCGGCGGAGCAUGUGGAUUAAUUCGAUGCGACGCGAAGAACCUUACCUGGGUUUGACGUGCACAGGACGCCGGCAGAGAUGUCGGUUCCCUUGUGGCCUGUGUGCAGGUGGUGCAUGGCUGUCGUCAGCUCGUGUCGUGAGAUGUUGGGUUAAGUCCCGCAACGAGCGCAACCCCCGUCCUAUGUUGCCAGCGGGUUAUGCCGGGGACUCGUAGGAGACUGCCGGGGUCAACUCGGAGGAAGGUGGGGAGGACGUCAAGUCGUCAUGCCCCCUAUGUCCAGGGCUUCACACAUGCUACAAUGGCCUGUACAAAGGGCUGCGAUGCCGUGAGGUGGAGCGAAUCCUUUCAAAGCCGGUCUCAGUUCGGAUCGGGGUGUGCAACUCGACCCCGCGAAGUCGGAGUCGCUAGUAAUCGCAGAUCAG
Molecule: ribosomal RNA, 1327 nt
Filed under: uncultured bacterium
Lineage: Bacteria
Description: bacterial SSU rRNA
Rfam family: Bacterial small subunit ribosomal RNA
Source: RNAcentral